GGAAGGAAGGAAGGGUGGGCCUUCUAUCACCCCACUGAUUGCCAGGGUUGAUUCGGCUUAUCUGACUGGCCCCUUCCUCACUCACUGAUCCAUGUGUGUCCCUCCCAAAGCUGUGCGCUUGGUCAAAGAGGAUGGCCUUCCCCUAAUAGAGACAGACCAGUGUUCGGUGGAGGAUAUACAAGUAGCUGCAUACCCCUGCUAGAACCUCCAAGCAAGCUCUCAAGGUCCAUUUGUAGAACAUAGGGUACAAGCUUCCAAGAAUACAGACACAUCCAAAUGAGGUGCUGCAUGUAGCUGUCUGCCUUUU
Molecule: unclassified non-coding RNA, 307 nt
Organism: Erinaceus europaeus (western European hedgehog)
Lineage: Eukaryota; Metazoa; Chordata; Mammalia; Eulipotyphla; Erinaceidae
Gene: 7SK
Rfam family: 7SK RNA
About the family: 7SK was discovered as an abundant small nuclear RNA in the mid-70s but a possible function has only recently been suggested. Two independent studies have found that 7SK RNA binds the CDK9/cyclin T complex (known as elongation factor P-TEFb). P-TEFb activates transcription by phosphorylating the C-terminal domain of RNA polymerase II.
Source: Ensembl